Molecule: ribosomal RNA, 1889 nt
Filed under: Salmonella enterica subsp. enterica serovar Typhimurium str. DT104
Lineage: Bacteria; Pseudomonadati; Pseudomonadota; Gammaproteobacteria; Enterobacterales; Enterobacteriaceae
Description: bacterial LSU rRNA
Rfam family: Bacterial large subunit ribosomal RNA
Source: RNAcentral
CACUGGUCGAGUCGGCCUGCGCGGAAGAUGUAACGGGGCUAAACCAUGCACCGAAGCUGCGGCAGCGAACGUAUCACCCAAGACAACUUUACGGAGUUGACGAUUGACGGAGCGAAGCGACGUCAAAGCGUUCAUUAAAGUCGAGUUGGCUUAGGGAUACGUUCGUUGGGUAGGGGAGCGUUCUGUAAGCCUGUGAAGGUGUGUCGUGAGGCAUGCUGGAGGUAUCAGAAGUGCGAAUGCUGACAUAAGUAACGAUAAAGCGGGUGAAAAGCCCGCUCGCCGGAAGACCAAGGGUUCCUGUCCAACGUUAAUCGGGGCAGGGUGAGUCGACCCCUAAGGCGAGGCCGAAAGGCGUAGUCGAUGGGAAACGGGUUAAUAUUCCCGUACUUGGUGUUACUGCGAAGGGGGGACGGAGAAGGCUAUGUUGGCCGGGCGACGGUUGUCCCGGUUUAAGCGUGUAGGUGUGUGUUCCAGGUAAAUCCGGUUCACUUUAACACUGAGGCGUGACGACGAGGCACUACGGUGCUGAAGCAACAAAUGCCCUGCUUCCAGGAAAAGCCUCUAAGCAUCAGGUAACACGAAAUCGUACCCCAAACCGACACAGGUGGUCAGGUAGAGAAUACCAAGGCGCUUGAGAGAACUCGGGUGAAGGAACUAGGCAAAAUGGUGCCGUAACUUCGGGAGAAGGCACGCUGACACGUAGGUGAAGUGAUUUACUCAUGGAGCUGAAGUCAGUCGAAGAUACCAGCUGGCUGCAACUGUUUAUUAAAAACACAGCACUGUGCAAACACGAAAGUGGACGUAUACGGUGUGACGCCUGCCCGGUGCCGGAAGGUUAAUUGAUGGGGUCAGCGUAAGCGAAGCUCCUGAUCGAAGCCCCGGUAAACGGCGGCCGUAACUAUAACGGUCCUAAGGUAGCGAAAUUCCUUGUCGGGUAAGUUCCGACCUGCACGAAUGGCGUAAUGAUGGCCAGGCUGUCUCCACCCGAGACUCAGUGAAAUUGAACUCGCUGUGAAGAUGCAGUGUACCCGCGGCAAGACGGAAAGACCCCGUGAACCUUUACUAUAGCUUGACACUGAACAUUGAGCCUUGAUGUGUAGGAUAGGUGGGAGGCUUUGAAGUGUGGACGCCAGUCUGCAUGGAGCCGACCUUGAAAUACCACCCUUUAAUGUUUGAUGUUCUAACGUGGACCCGUAAUCCGGGUUGCGGACAGUGUCUGGUGGGUAGUUUGACUGGGGCGGUCUCCUCCUAAAGAGUAACGGAGGAGCACGAAGGUUGGCUAAUCCUGGUCGGACAUCAGGAGGUUAGUGCAAUGGCAUAAGCCAGCUUGACUGCGAGCGUGACGGCGCGAGCAGGUGCGAAAGCAGGUCAUAGUGAUCCGGUGGUUCUGAAUGGAAGGGCCAUCGCUCAACGGAUAAAAGGUACUCCGGGGAUAACAGGCUGAUACCGCCCAAGAGUUCAUAUCGACGGCGGUGUUUGGCACCUCGAUGUCGGCUCAUCACAUCCUGGGGCUGAAGUAGGUCCCAAGGGUAUGGCUGUUCGCCAUUUAAAGUGGUACGCGAGCUGGGUUUAGAACGUCGUGAGACAGUUCGGUCCCUAUCUGCCGUGGGCGCUGGAGAACUGAGGGGGGCUGCUCCUAGUACGAGAGGACCGGAGUGGACGCAUCACUGGUGUUCGGGUUGUCAUGCCAAUGGCACUGCCCGGUAGCUAAAUGCGGAAGAGAUAAGUGCUGAAAGCAUCUAAGCACGAAACUUGCCCCGAGAUGAGUUCUCCCUGAGACUUAGAGUCUCCUGAAGGAACGUUGAAGACGACGACGUUGAUAGGCCGGGUGUGUAAGCGCAGCGAUGCGUUGAGCUAACCGGUACUAAUGAACCGUGAGGCUUAACCUU